Molecule: ribosomal RNA, 452 nt
Filed under: uncultured bacterium
Lineage: Bacteria
Description: partial 16S ribosomal RNA
Rfam family: Bacterial small subunit ribosomal RNA
Source: RNAcentral
AACGAACGCUGGCGGUAUGCUUAACACAUGCAAGUCGAACGGGUGUAGCAAUACAUCAGUGGCAAACGGGCGAGGAAUGUAGAGGAAUCUCCCUAGCAGUAAGGAAUAACUUUGGGAAACCAAAGCUAAUGCCAUAUAUUACCCUCCGGGGGAAAGAUUUAUCGCUGUUAGAUGAGCCUCUAUCGGAUUAGCUAGUUGGUGAGGUAAUGGCUCACCAAGGCAAUGAUCCGUAGCUGGUCUUAGAGGAUGAUCAGCCACACUGGGACUGAGACACGGUCCAGACUCCUACGGGAGGCAGCAGUGGGGAAUAUUGGACAAUGGGCGCAAGCCUGAUCCAGCAAUACCGCGUGAGUGAUGAAGGUCUGCGGAUUGUAAAGCUCUUUUAGUAGGGAAGAUAAUGACGGUACCUACAGAAAAAGCACCGGCAAACUUCGUGCCAGCCGCCGCGGUAA